GGAGUCUGCAACUCGACUCCAUGAAGUCGGAAUCGCUAGUAAUCGCGGAUCAGAAUGCCGCGGUGAAUACGUUCCCGGGCCUUGUACACACCGCCCGUCACACCAUGGGAGUUUGUUGCACCAGAAGUAGCUAGCCUAACUGCAAAGAGGGCGGUUACCACGGUGUGGCCGAUGACUGGGGUGAAGUCGUAACAAGGUAGCCGUAGGGGAACCUGCGGCUGGAUCACCUCCUUA
This 234-nucleotide ribosomal RNA is filed under the name Escherichia coli. RNAcentral's name for it is "partial 16S ribosomal RNA". It matches the Rfam family "Bacterial small subunit ribosomal RNA", at positions 1300 to 1533 of the family's 1533-position model. Lineage: Bacteria; Pseudomonadati; Pseudomonadota; Gammaproteobacteria; Enterobacterales; Enterobacteriaceae. The record is from RNAcentral.